Bufo bufo (common toad) is the source of this 191-nucleotide small nuclear RNA. RefSeq annotates it as U2 spliceosomal RNA. NCBI's taxonomy places the organism in Eukaryota, Metazoa, Chordata, Amphibia, Anura, Bufonidae. The record is from RefSeq and is a predicted model, not a curated record. The transcript has a single exon.
AACGCUUCCCAGUCUUUUGGCUAAGAUCAAGUGUAGUAUCUGUUCUUAUCAGUUUAAUAUCUGAUAUGUCCCCUAUAUGGGGACCAUAUACUAAAUAGAUUUUUUAAACAGAGUGAUGGAAAAAAAGCUUGCUCUGUCCACUCCAUGCAUUGACCUGAUAUUACAGUACCUCCAGGACCGGUGCGCCAUAA